RNAcentral lists this ribosomal RNA (401 nucleotides) under uncultured bacterium. RNAcentral describes it as "bacterial SSU rRNA". It matches the Rfam family "Bacterial small subunit ribosomal RNA", at positions 29 to 423 of the family's 1533-position model. The record is from RNAcentral.
AACGAACGCUGGCGGCGUGGUUUAGGCAUGCAAGUCGAGCGAGAAAGUCCUUCGGGACGAGUACAGCGGCGAAAGGGUGAGUAAUAUAUAGGUAACCUACCUCUUGGACUCGGAUAAUUCCUGGAAACGGGUUGUAAUACGAGAUCGUCCUAUUGGGUCGCAUGGCCCGACUGGUAAAUGGUAGCUCUGCUUCUGCCGAGAGAGGGGCCUAUAUCCUAUUAGCUAGUUGGUGAGGUAAUGGCUCACCAAGGCUUUGAUGGGUAGCCGGACUGAGAGGUUGGCCGGUCACACUGGGACUGAGACACUGCCCAGACUCCUACGGGAGGCUGCAGUCGAGAAUCUUCCGCAAUGGGCGAAAGCCUGACGGGGCGACGCCGCGUGAACGAAGAAGGCCUUCGGUU